This 844-nucleotide ribosomal RNA is filed under the name Gammarus longisaeta. Its description in RNAcentral is "partial large subunit ribosomal RNA". The stretch from base 418 to 580 matches the Rfam family "Archaeal large subunit ribosomal RNA", at positions 1878 to 2091 of the family's 2987-position model. Lineage: Eukaryota; Metazoa; Arthropoda; Malacostraca; Amphipoda; Gammaridae. The record is from RNAcentral.
CUUACAAUGAAAAAAACCGUUAGGCACUCUUAUACUGACAAGAAGUAAAUAAAGAUUAAUAAAAUGUUAAGUUUGUACCUUUUGUAUCAGGGGAUUUUAAAAAUAAAAUUAUAAGUGUAUCGAGUCGGCUGGAUCUUUAAGUAGAGCAUUAGUGGGAUUUAUUGAUUCUAGGUAGUAAGAGGUGAAAAGCAAGCGACAGGCGUGAUAACUAAUUGUCUUAGAUUAUAAAAAGUAAAGUUUUUAAAAAUCUAUAAAAGUUAGGUAUAAGGAGAACUAGGCUUUAAAUUAGCUAGGCUGAUAAAUUGUUUUAAAUAAUUAGAGUUUAGAAGAUUAAUAGAGUUAUUUGACGAUAUUGACUAUUAAUAGUUUAUAGAAAUAAUGAAGUUAUUGAAUAAGUAGUGAAGUGGAAAAAGGACUCAGGGUAAGUUAGAUAGUUUAGCAAAAACAUUUUUAUCUGAGUAUUAGAAAAUAAAACCUGCCCAGUGCGUUGUAAACGGCUGCAGUAUUUUGACUGUGCUAAGGUAGCAUAGUCAUUUGCUACUUAAUUGGUAGCUAGUAUGAAUGGUUAAACUGAUUUAACUGGUUUGUGAACUUAAUAGGAGAUUUAAGUAGAGGUAAGAAUUCUUCUGUUGACUAGGGGACGAUAAGACCCUAAAAGCUUAACUAAGAGAUUGCUUGUGGUGGUAGUAAAUAAAUAGUUUCACUGGGGCGGUGAUAGUAAAUAACUGCUAUAGUUUUUAAUGAUCCUGUUAUAUGUAGAUAGUAGGGAAAAGUUACUUUAGGGGUAACAGUACAAUAAAUUUGGAGAGACCAUAUCGAUAAAUAAGUUUGUAACCUCGAUGUU